UGCCCUAGUAACGGCGAGUGAAGCGGCAACAGCUCAAAUUUGAAAUCUGGCACUUGUGCCCGAGUUGUAAUUUGUAGAGGAUGCUUUUGGCGACGCGCCUUCCGAGUUCCCUGGAACGGGACGCCAUAGAGGGUGAGAGCCCCGUCCGGUCGUGCGCCUAGCCUCUGUACAGCUCCUUCGACGAGUCGAGUAGUUUGGGAAUGCUGCUCUAAAUGGGAGGUAUACGUCUUCUAAAGCUAAAUACCGGCCAGAGACCGAUAGCGCACAAGUAGAGUGAUCGAAAGAUGAAAAGCACUUUGAAAAGAGGGUUAAAUAGUACGUGAAAUUGCUGAAAGGGAAGCGCUUAUGACCAGACUUGGGCGCGGCGGAUCAUCCGGCGUUCUCGCCGGUGCACUCCACCGCCCCAGGCCAGCAUCAGUUCGCGCCGGGGGACAAAGGCUUCGGGAAUGUGGCUCCCUCGGGAGUGUUAUAGCCCGUUGCGUAAUACCCUGGUGCGGACUGAGGUCCGCGCUCUGCAAGGAUGCUGGCGUAAUGGUCAUCAGUGACCCGUCUUGAAACACGGACCAAGGAGUCGUCUUCGUAUGCGAGUGUUCGGGUGUCAAACCCCUACGCGGAAUGAAAGUGAACGUAGGAGAGAGCUUCGGCGCAUCUCCGACCGAUCCUGAUGUUCUCGGAUGGAUUUGAGUAAGAGCAUACGGGGCCGGACCCGAAAGAAGGUGAACUAUGCCUGUGUAGGGUGAAGCCAGAGGAAACUCUGGUGGAGGCUCGCAGCGGUUCUGACGUGCAAAUCGAUCGUCAAACAUGGGCAUGGGGGCGAAAGACUAAUCGAACCUUCUAGUAGCUGGUUUCCGCCGAAGUUUCCCUCAGGAUAGCAGUGUUGAACUCAGUUUUAUGAGGUAAAGCGAAUGAUUAGGGACCCGGGGGCGCUAUAUUGCCUUCAUCCAUUCUCAAACUUUAAAUAUGUAAGAAGCUCUUGUUGCUUAGUUGAACGUGAGCAUUCGAAUGUAUCAACACUAGUGGGCCAUUUUUGGUAAGCAGAACUGGCGAUGCGGGAUGAACCGAACGCGAGGUUAAGGUGCCAGAGUAGACGCUCAUCAGACACCACAAAAGGUGUUAGUACAUCUUGACAGCAGGACGGUGGCCAUGGAAGUCGGAAUCCGCUAAGGACUGUGUAACAACUCACCUGCCGAAUGUACUAGCCCUGAAAAUGGAUGGCGCUCAAGCGUCUCACCCAUACCUCGCCCUCAGGGUAGAAACGAUGCCCUGAGGAGUAGGCGGACGGGCGUGAGCCCGGGUUGAACGGCCUCUAGUGCAGAUCUUGGUGGUAGUAGCAAAUACUUCAAUGAGAACUUGAAGGACCGAAGUGGGGAAAGGUUCCAUGUGAACAGCGGUUGGACAUGGGUCAGUCGAUCCUAAGCCAUAGGGAAGUUCCGUUUCAAAGGCGCACUUGUGCGCCGUCUGGCGAAAGGGAAGCCGGUCAAUAUUCCGGCACCUGGAUGUGGGUUUUGCGCGGCAACGCAACUGAACGCGGAGACGACGGCGGGGCCCCCGGGCAGAGUUCUCUUUUCUUCUUAACGGUCUCUCACCCUGAAAUCGGUUUGUCCGGAGCUAGGGUUUAAUGGCCGGAAGAGCCCAGCACCUCUGCUGGGUCCGGUGCGGUCCCGACGUCCCUUGAAAAUCCGCGGGAGGAAAUAAUUCUCACGCCAGGUCGUACUCAUAACCGCAGCAGGUCUCCAAGGUGAACAGCCUCUGGUUGAUAGAACAAUGUAGAUAAGGGAAGUCGGCAAAAUAGAUCCGUAACUUCGGGAUAAGGAUUGGCUCUAAGGGUUGGGUGCGUUGGGCCUUGGAAGGACGCCUCGGGAGCAGGCUGCCACUAGCCGGGCAACCGGCCGGCGGCGGCCAGCAUCUGGGUGCUGAUGUCCUUGGCAGGCUUCGGCCGUCCGGCGCACGGUUAACAACCAACUUAGAACUGGUACGGACAGGGGGAAUCUGACUGUCUAAUUAAAACAUAGCA
RNAcentral lists this ribosomal RNA (2014 nucleotides) under Acremonium potronii. RNAcentral's name for it is "LSU rRNA". It matches the Rfam family "Eukaryotic large subunit ribosomal RNA", at positions 76 to 2158 of the family's 3401-position model. Lineage: Eukaryota; Fungi; Ascomycota; Sordariomycetes; Hypocreales; Bionectriaceae. The record is from RNAcentral.